UCCGUUGUAGUUUAGUUGGUUAGGAUAUUCGGCUCUCACCUAGAGAUCCAGGUUUAAGUCCCGGCAACGGAA
This 72-nucleotide transfer RNA is filed under the name Gossypium hirsutum (cotton). It matches the Rfam family "tRNA". From Rfam's summary of the family: Transfer RNA (tRNA) molecules are approximately 80 nucleotides in length. Their secondary structure includes four short double-helical elements and three loops (D, anti-codon, and T loops). Lineage: Eukaryota; Viridiplantae; Streptophyta; Magnoliopsida; Malvales; Malvaceae. The record is from Rfam by way of RNAcentral.